UUUUUAUAGUAGCUCCUUUUUAUACAAUAGACCUCGCAAAUAUCGGUGUUUUCUUGUCAUUUUACUUGUCUAACCAACCAGCAAUUGUACCGCGGCAUACACAGUGCGCGGUGCGGCGGGAACCAAUCAUACUGGUUAUCGCGAAGACAACUUCCCAAUCAAUCAAGCGAACUUGUAAAAAAAAA
Molecule: long non-coding RNA, 185 nt
Filed under: Patiria miniata (bat star)
Lineage: Eukaryota; Metazoa; Echinodermata; Asteroidea; Valvatida; Asterinidae
Description: uncharacterized LOC119746308
Source: RNAcentral